UCUAUUGAGGAUUUGAUCCUGGUCCAGGAUGAAUGCUGGCGGCGUGGAUAGGGCAUGCAAGUCGAACGGAACAAUUUGCGAUUACAUCAAGAAUUGUUCAGUGGCGAACGAGUUCAGUAAUACCUUGGAAUCUACCCCGAAGACGGGAAUAACUCCGCGAAAGCGGAGCUAAUACCCGAUAGCCCCAGCAUCUUUUUAGAUUCUUGAAACAAAAAUCGGACACAAGGCCCGAUGAUUAAAAAUUAAGGGAUAUGCAGUUCGAAGCAACAGAUAAAAAAUAUCCAAGCAGCAAUGUUGC
This 298-nucleotide ribosomal RNA is filed under the name Patescibacteria group bacterium. RNAcentral's name for it is "partial 16S ribosomal RNA". It matches the Rfam family "Bacterial small subunit ribosomal RNA", at positions 1 to 218 of the family's 1533-position model. The record is from RNAcentral.